RNAcentral lists this small nuclear RNA (293 nucleotides) under Saimiri boliviensis boliviensis (Bolivian squirrel monkey). RNAcentral describes it as "7SK RNA (ENSSBOG00000005574.1)". It matches the Rfam family "7SK RNA". Rfam says of the family: 7SK was discovered as an abundant small nuclear RNA in the mid-70s but a possible function has only recently been suggested. Two independent studies have found that 7SK RNA binds the CDK9/cyclin T complex (known as elongation factor P-TEFb). Lineage: Eukaryota; Metazoa; Chordata; Mammalia; Primates; Cebidae. The record is from Rfam by way of RNAcentral.
GGAUAUGAGGGCGACCUGGUUGUGACAGCUGUCACCUCACUGAUUGCCAGGGUUGAUUCAGCUGAUCUGGCUGGCUAGGAAGGUGUCCCCUUCCUCUCUAACUACUCCAUGUGCGUCCCUCCUGAGGCCGUGUUUGGUCAAAGAGGACAACCAUCCCCAAGAGAGGAGGACUGGUCUUCCAUCAAGGGCACACAGGUAGGCAUGCUUCCCUGCUACAACCUCCAAACUCUCAAGGUGCAAAAUGCAUUUCAGCUCAAAUAGUCAAUGCAUUCUUUCAACAUUAGUGAAUCAUU